Molecule: ribosomal RNA, 595 nt
Filed under: Aspergillus fumigatus
Lineage: Eukaryota; Fungi; Ascomycota; Eurotiomycetes; Eurotiales; Aspergillaceae
Description: eukaryotic LSU rRNA
Rfam family: 5.8S ribosomal RNA (bases 215-368)
Source: RNAcentral
CCGUAGGUGAACCUGCGGAAGGAUCAUUACCGAGUGAGGGCCCUCUGGGUCCAACCUCCCACCCGUGUCUAUCGUACCUUGUUGCUUCGGCGGGCCCGCCGUUUCGACGGCCGCCGGGGAGGCCUUGCGCCCCCGGGCCCGCGCCCGCCGAAGACCCCAACAUGAACGCUGUUCUGAAAGUAUGCAGUCUGAGUUGAUUAUCGUAAUCAGUUAAAACUUUCAACAACGGAUCUCUUGGUUCCGGCAUCGAUGAAGAACGCAGCGAAAUGCGAUAAGUAAUGUGAAUUGCAGAAUUCAGUGAAUCAUCGAGUCUUUGAACGCACAUUGCGCCCCCUGGUAUUCCGGGGGGCAUGCCUGUCCGAGCGUCAUUGCUGCCCUCAAGCACGGCUUGUGUGUUGGGCCCCCGUCCCCCUCUCCCGGGGGACGGGCCCGAAAGGCAGCGGCGGCACCGCGUCCGGUCCUCGAGCGUAUGGGGCUUUGUCACCUGCUCUGUAGGCCCGGCCGGCGCCAGCCGACACCCAACUUUAUUUUUCUAAGGUUGACCUCGGAUCAGGUAGGGAUACCCGCUGAACUUAAGCAUAUCAAUAAGCGGAGG